Molecule: ribosomal RNA, 493 nt
Filed under: uncultured bacterium
Lineage: Bacteria
Description: partial 16S ribosomal RNA
Rfam family: Bacterial small subunit ribosomal RNA
Source: RNAcentral
GAGUGAACGCUGGCGGUAGGCCUAACACAUGCAAGUCGAACGGCAGCACAGUAAGAGCUUGCUCUUACGGGUGGCGAGUGGCGGACGGGUGAGGAAUACAUCGGAAUCUACUUUUUCGUGGGGGAUAACGUAGGGAAACUUACGCUAAUACCGCAUACGACCUACGGGUGAAAGCAGGGGAUCUUCGGACCUUGCGCGAUUGAAUGAGCCGAUGUCGGAUUAGCUAGUUGGCGGGGUAAAGGCCCACCAAGGCGACGAUCCGUAGCUGGUCUGAGAGGAUGAUCAGCCACACUGGAACUGAGACACGGUCCAGACUCCUACGGGAGGCAGCAGUGGGGAAUAUUGGACAAUGGGCGCAAGCCUGAUCCAGCCAUACCGCGCGGGUGAAGAAGGCCUUCGGGUUGUAAAGCCCUUUUGUUGGGAAAGAAAAGCAGCAGGUUAAUACCCCGCCGUUCUGACGGUACCCAAAGAAUAAGCACCGGCUAACUUCGUG